AACGAACGCUGGCGGCAGGCUUAACACAUGCAAGUCGAACGCCCCGCAAGGGGAGUGGCAGACGGGUGAGUAACGCGUGGGAAUCUACCCAUCCCUACUGAAUAACGCAUGGAAACGUGUGCUAAUACCGUAUACGCCCUACGGGGGAAAGAUUUAUCGGGGAUGGAUGAGCCCGCGUUGGAUUAGCUAGUUGGUGGGGUAAAGGCCUACCAAGGCGACGAUCCAUAGCUGGUCUGAGAGGAUGAUCAGCCACAUUGGGACUGAGACACGGCCCAAACUCCUACGGGAGGCAGCAGUGGGGAAUAUUGGACAAUGGGCGCAAGCCUGAUCCAGCCAUGCCGCGUGAGUGAUGAAGGCCUUAGGGUUGUAAAGCUCUUUCACCGGAGAAGAUAAUGACGGUAUCCGGAGAAGAAGCCCCGGCUAACUUCGUG
RNAcentral lists this ribosomal RNA (431 nucleotides) under uncultured bacterium. Its description in RNAcentral is "partial 16S ribosomal RNA". It matches the Rfam family "Bacterial small subunit ribosomal RNA", at positions 29 to 507 of the family's 1533-position model. The record is from RNAcentral.